GACGAACGCUGGCGGCGUGCUUAACACAUGCAAGUCGAACGGAAAGGCCCUGCUUUUGUGGGGUGCUCGAGUGGCGAACGGGUGAGUAACACGUGAGUAACCUGCCCUUGACUUUGGGAUAACUUCAGGAAACUGGGGCUAAUACCGGAUAGGAGCUCCUGCUGCAUGGUGGGGGUUGGAAAGUUUCGGCGGUUGGGGAUGGACUCGCGGCUUAUCAGCUUGUUGGUGGGGUAGUGGCUUACCAAGGCUUUGACGGGUAGCCGGCCUGAGAGGGUGACCGGCCACAUUGGGGCUGAGAUACGGCCCAGACUCCUACGGGAGGCAGCAGUGGGGAAUAUUGCACAAUGGGCAGAAGCCUGAUGCAGCAACGCCGCGUGCGGGAUGACGGCCUUCGGGUUGUAAACCGCUUUCGCCUGUGACGAAGCGUGAGUGACGGUAAUGGGUAAAGAAGCACCGGCUAAGUACGUG
Molecule: ribosomal RNA, 468 nt
Filed under: uncultured bacterium
Lineage: Bacteria
Description: partial 16S ribosomal RNA
Rfam family: Bacterial small subunit ribosomal RNA
Source: RNAcentral